This is a long non-coding RNA of Gorilla gorilla gorilla (western lowland gorilla), 3355 nucleotides long. RefSeq lists it as uncharacterized. Lineage: Eukaryota; Metazoa; Chordata; Mammalia; Primates; Hominidae. The record is from RefSeq and is a predicted model, not a curated record. The transcript is spliced from 2 exons.
CAGCAAUGAAUCCUCCAAUGUACCUGACUCUCCCUUUGCGAAGAGCAUCUCCUCUGUGGCAGAAAUCUGAAAAUGCCCCUGGGGAGACACAUGCACAAGACAGUUCGUGAGCCACACAUCUCCCCACACCAAGCUCCUCCAUACAAGACCUCGGACUGCAUCACGUAAAUGCUUUUUCAGGGGCAAAAUCUAGAGAAUCUGAAACGGUGGGCCUUUUUCUUUUUCUUUUUUUUUGAGAUGAGGUCUCACUCUGUUGCCCAGGCUGGAGUGCAGUGCAGUGGUGUGAUCUUGGCUCACUGCAACCUCCACCUCCUGGAGUCAAGUGAUUCUCCUGCCUCAGCCUUCAGAGUAGCUGGGAUCAUAGAUGACCGUCCCCAUGCCUGGUUAAUUUUUGUAUUUUUAGUAGAGACAGGGUUUCACCAUGUUGGCCAGGCUGGUCUCGAACUUCUGAGCUCAAGUGAUCCACCCACCUUGGCCUCCCAAAGUGCCGAGAUUACAGCAUGAGCCACCAUGCCCAGGUGUGAGCCUGUAUCUUAAUCAAAGUCCUGAGAAUAACCUUGAAGAAGACUCCCUUGCAAUGAGGAACAACAGAAGAAGCAAGGGACCUGGAAUCUGGCAGACCUGGGUUUGAAUUCUGGCUCUGUCACUUUCUGGUGAAGUGACUUGAGUAAUGAACAUGAGGCUUUCUGGGUAGCGUUUACAGCACAAAGCAAUUUGAGGAAUAAAUGAAAGAGCACAUGUCUAGUGCCUAGCAAUGCGCUGGACACAGUGCCGGUGCUCAGCCAUCAUGUCACACCAGCACUGACCGGUGAGCAUAAACCCUGGGGAUGCCCAGAGCUGGUACAGCCAGGAGCUCCAGAAGCGUGGGAUUCUCAGAGGGAAGUGGAGCUCACUGCUCUACAGGUCCUGUUCAAGUUAGAAAGUAAGAUACAAUGCACACAAAGCCAAAUUGUCAUCAUUCAGCUCCUAUUACAGGGGAACUAAGAGCUGCAUUGAAAAUUACUUGCAAAGCUUGUAAGUGGUUCUGCCACUUAUUAGCCAUGUGAACCUUAGCAAAUUACCUAGCGUCUCUGAGUUUCAACUUCCUCAUCUGCAAAAUAGAAAUAAUAACCGCAUCGCAAGAGUUGUUGGAAAAAUGAAAAUGAGGUAUCAUAGGAGGUAACAUGUAUGGAGCAUUUACCAUAUGCCAAGCACUGUUCUAAGAACUUCGGACAUGUUAUCUCACUUGUAUAAGUACUUAGGUGCCUACAACAUAAACAGCACCUGGUAAAUUAAGUAUUGAAAAAAUGCUAUGGGGCAGAGGAAGAAAUGCUAAGCCUCUGUGAGAAGAGAAGACAGCUUGUUACACAGGUGAAAAGAACAAGCUGCAGCUGAGAGAAGAAAAGUAUAAGAGUUGCUAGGUGUGACAAUCUCAAGACUUUUCAACCACUACAAAUUUAAACAGCCACCCUAAAUCACCCCAAAGGACAGACUCGAGUUGUUCUUUUUGUCUUUAAUGUUUGCGCCUCUCCGAAUCAGAGAAGAAGCUGCCAGGAUUCCAGUACAUACCAAAACAUGAUGACAAUAACCUCAACUGUGCAAACUUUUGUGCAUCUACUGCUGUGUAAAGGAAGCUGAUGUCAGUAGACUGGGGGGAACAGUAAGGCAUGUUUGUGACCGAAGCUCAAUUUGCCAUCAGUGUGGCCACACCUACCUCACUAAUAUUCUAAUAGUGGGAUAAAUAAUUCAAUAGGGAUAAAGCCUGGAUUUUCCUCUUAUUCUCUCUUAGUGCUUACAUUCUUGGCAUGAUAUCGAUGUGCCAUAGACAAGCCAAUAUGUGAGUGUACUCUAUCUGAAUAAAUAUAGCCUUUCUACAUGGCAAAGUCAUCCAGUUUCUAAAAUUAUUGUUAGAACCAAUGAAGUGACUAAGAGAAUUUUAAAAAAUAAGCCAUCAGUCUAGACCUGUGUAUAGGAAUGAAGGAGAAGCACUUUAAAGUCAGGGAAAAAAUAUAAACAUACUUAACAUUUAGGAUUAUCAACCAUUGCUGCUUUUCCAUAAACCAUUUCAUUCAUGAUUUCAUCUGUAAGAGAUAUGAUUAUUGCCCCCAUUCAGUGAGGGACUUUGAUAGUUAGCCGCCUGGUCCUUCUUGCUUGGAUGCCCUGCAAAUAAAUGUCCUCCUUUCCCCAAUGCAAAACCUCGAUAUGGUUGUUUGACUUUACUGCGCUUGGGCCAGAAGAAUCCAGUUAAGUCCACUAAUAAGCUCUUGGCCCGUCUUUGAGAUGGAUUUCAGAUUCAAAAUAGACUGACCCUAUCACCCUGCUAAUUUGGUCAGUCAGUAUUUGUCAGUAACAUAGAGGCUUCAUUCAAGAGGUUUACUGGGUUGUAACUAUUGGAACCCAGGGAUGAUUUCAGGAUUUUGUGGGGCCUGAGCCUUAUCUAGUAAAAACAUUAAAAAAAUUAUGAAUACCAAAAUUUCCAGGGGCCCUCCCAGGACCUUGGAAGGGCCUGUGCAAGUGAGAAGCCUGGAAGGUUAGGCUCUAUUCAAUUCAUCAUCGAUCAACAACAGCUGGGGCCUCUUUUUUUGUUUGUUUUUUACAAACUUGUGUAAUGCAGGGAAAUAUAUUGUUUCAACUUACAAACACCACAAAAUGGUGUCAUAUUGGUCAUAAAAUUACUGGCACCUUCCCUUGGCAUCUUGCCUUUGGAAAGAAAUGCAGUGGGCCUAUAUGUCACAUAUGCCAAAUAUGACUCUGCAGUGUAGCUUUGUUUACCAGGAAGAUUUGACUCCAAAGGAGCCCAGCCCCUAACAUACACUUGGUGUGUUGAGACCCUUGUGCCAAUCUUUGAAAGUAACUGUGACUUAGUUUGAAGGGUACAGCUCUGUUUAUACGAAAUGAGUGCUAGUUUCCAAUAUCAGCUAGCUCUGAUUUUUUCAUCACCAUGAAGCAAAUGCCUUUUUCUGUUGUUUAAGAUGAACACAGAAACUCAAGAUAAGCAAGUUAGUGUCUCCUCAAGUCUUUCUUAACCCAGCCCCCAUUCCUGCUUUGUCCUCUCCUUGUCACCCUGCCGUACAGAUCCCCACAUGGCUCUCAUUUGUUUUCCCAUCAGCAUCCGCUUCCUCCUUGAGGAAUGAAAGUCCCCUGGGGACAAAGUCCUCAUCUUGGUGUGUCUUUGAGAUGGAUUUUGUAGCCCCAGCACUUAGUACAGUACCUGGCACAAAUGGACAUGGCACUCUGAAUGUUUUUGAGUGAAUUCAUUAAUUUUUAUCAACUGUGAUUCCAGUGUUUUCCUGGUCUACAUAAUUGUAGUGAAGCUGGCUAGAUGAUGAUGAUGAUGAUGAUGAUGAUGAUGAUGAUGAUUUGAGACAGAGUCUCA